RNAcentral lists this ribosomal RNA (420 nucleotides) under uncultured archaeon. RNAcentral's name for it is "partial 16S ribosomal RNA". It matches the Rfam family "Archaeal small subunit ribosomal RNA", at positions 323 to 746 of the family's 1478-position model. The record is from RNAcentral.
CUACGGGGUGCACCAGUUAGGUAUAAUCUACAAUGCGCGCAAGCGUGAUAGUUUGAGCCAGAGUGUUUUUCAUUGAAAGACUUUUAUGGAAUGUAAAAAGUUCCACGAAUAAGGACUGGGUAAGACUAGUGCCAGCCGCCGCGGUAAUACUAGCGGUCCAAGUCGCAGCCAUUUUUAUUGGGUCUAAAACAUCCGUAGCUUGCUUGAUAAGUCUUCUGUGAAAUUUUAUAUCUCAAAUAUGAAGCGUGCAGAAGGUACUGUCAAGCUAGAGACUGGUAGACGUAAAGAGUAUGUUCAGAGUAGCGGUAAAAUGUGUUAAUCCUGGACAGACUAACAAGAGCGAAGGCACUUUACGAGAACAGUUCUGACAGUAAGGGAUGAAGGCUAGGGGCGCAAAACGGAUUAGAUACCCGUGUAGUC